CAUUUAUGGGUUGGCAGUGGGGGUAAAGGUACUUUGCUGGAGUUUUCUGUGUAUUUGAGGCUUUCUGAAGGUAAAGAGUUCCCUCAUCUUGUUACAUGAGAAACUGCUGGUUAAUCUGAGCAAGCUGGAGAUGAAAGCAAAGCGUUAAAUUACCGAGGAACUGACUGACAGAGAGAUGGCAAUAGAUUAGAGGAAGUUACUCAAAGGUUUGAUCCCAUAUUGGAACUUCUAUUGGCCCUGCUGUGCAAACCUUGCCUUGCUGUGUAAGUAGGCAGAACACGCAG
Coturnix japonica (Japanese quail) is the source of this 284-nucleotide non-coding RNA. NCBI's taxonomy places the organism in Eukaryota, Metazoa, Chordata, Aves, Galliformes, Phasianidae. The record is from RefSeq and is a predicted model, not a curated record.